RNAcentral lists this ribosomal RNA (497 nucleotides) under uncultured bacterium. RNAcentral describes it as "partial 16S ribosomal RNA". It matches the Rfam family "Bacterial small subunit ribosomal RNA", at positions 28 to 507 of the family's 1533-position model. The record is from RNAcentral.
GAUGAACGCUGGCGGCGUGCCUAAUACAUGCAAGUCGAGCGAACAGACGAGGAGCUUGCUCCUCUGACGUUAGCGGCGGACGGGUGAGUAACACGUGGUUAACCUACCUAUAAGACUGGGAUAACUUCGGGAAACCGGAGCUAAUACCGGAUAACAUGUUGAACCGCAUGGUUCAACAGUAAAAGACGGUCUUGCUGUCACUUAUAGAUGGCCCCGCGCCGCAUUAGCUAGUUGGUAAGGUAACGGCUUACCAAGGCAACGAUGCGUAGCCGACCUGAGAGGGUGAUCGGCCAGACUGGAACUGAGACACGGUCCAGACUCCUACGGGAGGCAGCAGUAGGGAAUCUUCCGCAAUGGGCGAAAGCCUGACGGAGCAACGCCGCGUGAGUGAAGAAGGUCUUCGGAUCGUAAAACUCUGUUAUUAGGGAAGAACAAAUGUGUAAGUAACUAUGCACGUCUUGACGGUACCUAAUCAGAAAGCCACGGCUAACUACGUG